CCUACGGGAGGCAGCAGUGAGGAAUAUUGGUCAAUGGGCGAGAGCCUGAACCAGCCAAGUCGCGUGAGGGAGUACUGCCCUAUGGGUUGUAAACCUCUUUUGUCGGGGAGCAAAAGCCGGACGUGUCCGGCUGUGAGAGUACCCGAAGAAAAAGCAUCGGCUAACUCCGUGCCAGCAGCCGCGGUAAUACGGAGGAUGCGAGCGUUAUCCGGAUUUAUUGGGUUUAAAGGGUGCGCAGGCGGAUUUUUAAGUCAGCGGUAAAAUCGUGGGGCUCAACCCCAUCCAGCCGUUGAAACUGGGGAUCUAGAGUGUGCGGGAGGUAUGCGGAAUGCGUGGUGUAGCGGUGAAAUGCAUAGAUAUCACGCAGAACCCCGAUUGCGAAGGCAGCAUACCGGUGCACAACUGACGCUCAGGCACGAAAGCGUGGGUAUCGAACAGGAUUAGAUACCCUAGUAGUC
RNAcentral lists this ribosomal RNA (458 nucleotides) under uncultured bacterium. Its description in RNAcentral is "partial 16S ribosomal RNA". It matches the Rfam family "Bacterial small subunit ribosomal RNA", at positions 338 to 795 of the family's 1533-position model. The record is from RNAcentral.